GACGAACGCUGGCGGCGCGCCUAACACAUGCAAGUCGAACGGAGCUGAGAGAAGCUUGCUUUUCUUAGCUUAGUGGCGAACGGGUGAGUAACGCGUGAGUAACCUGCCCUGGAGUGGGGGACAACAGUUGGAAACGACUGCUAAUACCGCAUAAGCCCACGAUCCGGCAUCGGAUUGAGGGAAAAGGAUUUAUUCGCUUCAGGAUGGACUCGCGUCCAAUUAGCUAGUUGGUGAGGUAACGGCCCACCAAGGCGACGAUUGGUAGCCGGACUGAGAGGUUGAACGGCCACAUUGGGACUGAGACACGGCCCAGACUCCUACGGGAGGCGGCAGUGGGGGAUAUUGCACAAUGGGGGAAACCCUGAUGCAGCGACGCCGCGUGGAGGAAGAAGGUUUUCGGAUUGUAAACUCCUGUCGUUAGGGACGAUAAUGACGGUACCUAACAAGAAAGCACCGGCUAACUACGUG
RNAcentral lists this ribosomal RNA (468 nucleotides) under uncultured bacterium. RNAcentral's name for it is "partial 16S ribosomal RNA". It matches the Rfam family "Bacterial small subunit ribosomal RNA", at positions 28 to 507 of the family's 1533-position model. The record is from RNAcentral.